UAAUACGGAGGGUGCAAGCGUUAUCCGGAUUCACUGGGUUUAAAGGGUGCGUAGGUGGGCAGGUAAGUCAGUGGUGAAAUCUCCGGGCUUAACCCGGAAACUGCCGUUGAUACUAUUUGUCUUGAAUAUAGUGGAGGUGAGCGGAAUAUGUCAUGUAGCGGUGAAAUGCUUAGAUAUGACAUAGAACAUCGAUUGCGAAGGCAGCUCGCUACACUAUUAUUGACACUGAGGCACGAAAGCGUGGGGAUCAAACAGG
This 256-nucleotide ribosomal RNA is filed under the name uncultured bacterium. RNAcentral describes it as "partial 16S ribosomal RNA". It matches the Rfam family "Bacterial small subunit ribosomal RNA", at positions 521 to 776 of the family's 1533-position model. The record is from RNAcentral.